GACGAACGCUGGCGGCGUGCUUAACACAUGCAAGUCGAACGCUGAAGCUCAGCUUUUGUUGGGUGGAUGAGUGGCGAACGGGUGAGUAACACGUGAGUAACCUGCCUCCUUCUUUGGGAUAACGCCCGGAAACGGGUGCUAAUACUGGAUAUUCACUGGUCUUCGCAUGGGGGUUGGUGGAAAGGGUUUUUCUGGUGGGGGAUGGGCUCGCGGCCUAUCAGCUUGUUGGUGGGGUGAUGGCCUACCAAGGCUUUGACGGGUAGCCGGCCUGAGAGGGUGACCGGUCACAUUGGGACUGAGAUACGGCCCAGACUGCUACGGGAGGCAGCAGUGGGGAAUAUUGCACAAUGGGCGCAAGCCUGAUGCCGCGACGCCGCGUGAGGGAUGGAGGCCUUCGGGUUGUGAACCUCUUUCGCUCAUGGUCAAGCCGCAACAAUGGUUGUGGUGAGGGUAGUGGGUAAAGAAGCGCCGGCUAACUACGUG
RNAcentral lists this ribosomal RNA (483 nucleotides) under uncultured bacterium. RNAcentral's name for it is "partial 16S ribosomal RNA". It matches the Rfam family "Bacterial small subunit ribosomal RNA", at positions 28 to 507 of the family's 1533-position model. The record is from RNAcentral.